Triticum dicoccoides is the source of this 2815-nucleotide long non-coding RNA. RefSeq lists it as uncharacterized. The transcript is spliced from 3 exons. The record is from RefSeq and is a predicted model, not a curated record. NCBI's taxonomy places the organism in Eukaryota, Viridiplantae, Streptophyta, Magnoliopsida, Poales, Poaceae.
CACAUACGCUCAUCUACGACCGGUUUCCCCCAUGCGAUCUGCGCAGGCAGUGUGGCGACCGGCAGAUCUGCGCCGCCCCAGGGCCUGCUCGUGCCGGAGCGCCCCGGAUCUUCUUAAAGGCAGCACCUUUCUUCUGGAUCUCGUAGGUUCUCGAGAUCAGACCAUCGUGGAGACGAUGGCGCGUCUAUUAGGAGUGAAUUGGUUUUUUGCCGGGAUUUCAAAGCCUUGGUAGGCAAGACGAUGGGACUUAGGGUAUAUUUUCAUCAGUGCCUAAUUCGAGGCCGGUGCAGACUGAAGCUUUGCAAGUUGAUGCCACUCUUCUUGGAAUCAGUAAGCUGACGAUUCCUGUGCGAGCCUAGGCUUGUCGACAAGUAAGCAAAUUGUAUCUCAGGGCUGGACCGUUUGCAGCUUGCUGCCUAUCUAACACGCAGACAGAAUCUGUGCACGCACCCUACCUAGUUGUUUGUUUGUGUAGUAACUUUUCCUUGUAGGAGUAUACAAAGAAGAAUAGAAGGCAGGGCAAAGUAACCCUCUUGGCGUAUUCUCUUUAGCCAUAUAUAUACUACAUCUGUCUCAUAAUAUAAGAUGUUUUUUGACACUUAUCACAGUGUCAAAAAAUCUUGUAUUAUGAGACAGAGGGAGUACUUCUUAUAUGCACCUUUUAGACACUUAGCAGUGCUAUUAAAUGUCCUAUGCCUAAUCGCUGAUUAGUCACGCUAGUGGGAUGGUGGUCGUAAACCUGACAUGCAACCAUCUAUACCACCGACCUGACCCUCUGAUUGCGAGACUCACUGCAGUUGUGAUAAUAGAAAAACGUAAGCAACCAGUUCUAACUCGUGACGAACAUGCGGACAUGCAGACCUCUCUUUUGAUUUUGGUCUUGUUUUAUUUCUGCCUUGAAGAAAUAACACAGCACAAUUGCAUUCUUGACUCCACUUUUUGGUUUUGAAAUUAGAAGCCAAUUGCUGAAGCACUUCUAGCUAGAAGCCUCCUACAACCCUCCUCGCUGUCAACAUUAGCAUUCUUACUUUUAGACCCAGCCAUGCCAUGCAACAAAUCAACAAGAGCAACAAUGCAACAUUAAUCAACAGAGCAACUGCAGGUUCACAACAAGCAGCGGUUGUUUGGAUGGGCUCGAUUUAUAUGUUUCCUUAAAUAAAAGAGAAUAAAACAAAGGGCAAAGUAACCCUAUUGGCAUAUUCUCAUUUUGCCAUGUACUCCCUCCGUUCCUAAAUAUAAGUCUUUUUAGAUAUUCCACUAUAGACUACAUACGGAGCAAAAUGAGUGAAUCUACACUCUAAAAUAUGUCUAUAUUACAUCCGUAUGUAGUUUGUAGUUGAAUCUCUAAAAAGACUUAUAUUUAGGAACGGAGGGAACGGAGGGAGUAUGUUCUUAUAUGAAGUUUUCAAACAGUCAGUACUAGCUACAUAGUCUCUGAUUGCUGAUUAGCCACUUGGUACACAAUAAAACUAAAUUCUCCGCAUAUGACUCGGUAAGCAACCAGUUCUGAGCUCAUGACGAACACACAAAUUUGCACAACUUUCUAACUCAGUUGUUUGUUCUUGUUAAAUAAUAAGCACAUGCGUCAUAAUAGAUAAAUUUGUAUAUGCAGAGUAUGAAAUGACAAUGUUAAAUGAUAGGGCACACACAGCAUGGUAGGUUAACUCUUAUACUCAUCUAUGUGUAAAAUAGUCAAGAAAAGUGUUGACAUUUUCUUUUGUAAUGUGCUCCCUCCGUUCAUAAUUAUAAAAUGUUUUGGAUAUUUCAAUAUGGACUACAUACAUACUGAAAUGAGUGAGCAAAGACACUAAAAUCCGUCUAUAUACAUCUGGACCAGAAAAACGUUGGAACAUCUUAUAAUUGUGAACUGAUGAAGUAUAUCAGUUUAUUUUCCUAGCAUGCACUCCCUUAGUUCACAAAUAUAAGAUGUUCUGCAACACUAUCUUGUGAAUCGGAUGUAUAGACACGUUUUAGUGUGUUUGUUCACUCAUUUCAGUCUGAAUGUAGUCCAUGUUGAAAUAUCCAAAACAUCUUAUAUUUCUGAACAGAAGGAGUACCAAUUUAAAAUCCCAUCCACAUGUUUGUACUGUUAUCAUAAAUAAAAAAGUUUAAAGGCAGUCUUCUUAUAUUUUUAAGAUUCUCAAAAUGUGCAAAAUGGUAAAAUUAUGAUGGUAUUAUAUGGGGGAUGUGCAGGUAACGCGAGAGGUAUUCUGUAUGCAGGUUAUUCCUAUCCCCAAAGAUCUGCCUCACAAAGGAACUUAUUAAUGUGACUGCCGGACAUGAUAAACUCUCUCCCGGAAGUUUGCUGUACGGAUGCUAUAUCCUUUCACCCCGGGUCCAUGAUUGCAGGCUAACGAGGAACGAGGCAGCUUCUGGACCGGUGCUGUGAUGUCCCCCCGGCUCCAGAAUUCGCAAGCUUGCCUGUUUUUAUUUAUUUAUCCCAGUAGUGUUAGUAUCAUGUAAACCAAAUCGCCAGUCUGAAGGUGAUAAAAUUACUGUAUUACCUAUCUCUUGGUCUUGUUCUUCGCCCUGGUGGCCUCGGCCUCCCUUGCGGCCCUCCUGGCGGCAUUUCUCUGUGCCGCCAGCCUGAUCUGUUCCCGCUCGGUCUGGCGACGUUGGAUCCGCUGAUUCCGCCACUGCGGUACGCCUCGGCGGGGUUGGGCUGCGGCGGCUCCACAGCCAGGUGGAACUCGACGUGAUCCGCGUACUCCUCGCGGCUGUAGAAGCCCUCGAGACGGCACGGCCGGCAGUUGAUGUACCUGAACGGAACCUCUGCCAUCGCUGCAGAGAGAAUUAAUAGAUUAAGUUUAACUUC